RNAcentral lists this ribosomal RNA (650 nucleotides) under uncultured Glomus. RNAcentral's name for it is "SSU rRNA". It matches the Rfam family "Eukaryotic small subunit ribosomal RNA", at positions 624 to 1276 of the family's 1831-position model. Lineage: Eukaryota; Fungi; Glomeromycota; Glomeromycetes; Glomerales; Glomeraceae. The record is from RNAcentral.
AAGCUCGUAGUUGAAUUUCGGGAUCAAAUUGUCGGUCGUGCCUCGGUACGUACUGGCGUUAUUGGUUCCUCCCUUCUGAAGAACCACGAUGUCAUUAAUUUGGUGUCGCGGGGAAUCAGGACUGUUACUUUGAAAAAAUUAGAGUGUUUAAAGCAGGCUCGCGCUUGAAUACAUUAGCAUGGAAUAAUGAAAUAGGACGUUUGAUUCUAUUUUGUUGGUUUCUAGGAUCGACGUAAUGAUUAAUAGGGAUAGUUGGGGGCAUUAGUAUUCAAUUGUCAGAGGUGAAAUUCUUGGAUUUAUUGAAGACUAACUACUGCGAAAGCAUUUGCCAAGGAUGUUUUCAUUAAUCAAGAACGAAAGUUAGGGGAUCGAAGACGAUCAGAUACCGUCGUAGUCUUAACCAUAAACUAUGCCGACUAGGGAUCGGAUGAUGUUAAUUUUUUAAUGACUCAUUCGGCGCCUUACGGGAAACCAAAGUGUUUGGGUUCCGGGGGGAGUAUGGUCGCAAGGCUGAAACUUAAAGGAAUUGACGGAAGGGCACCACCAGGGGUGGAGCCUGCGGCUUAAUUUGACUCAACACGGGGAAACUCACCAGGUCCAGACAUAGUAAGGAUUGACAGAUUGAGAGCUCUUUCUUGAUUCUAUGGGUG